Molecule: ribosomal RNA, 503 nt
Filed under: uncultured bacterium
Lineage: Bacteria
Description: partial 16S ribosomal RNA
Rfam family: Bacterial small subunit ribosomal RNA
Source: RNAcentral
AAUGAACGCUGGCGGCGUGUCUUAAGCAUGCAAGUCGUGCGGCAAGGGUAGCAAUACCCCUAGAGCGGCGGACUGGUGAGUAACGCGUGGGUGAUCUGCCCUUGGGUUGGGGGUAGCCAUUAGAAAUAGUGGGUAAUACCGAAUACGAUGGCGAGACUGUGGUCUUGUCAUGAAAGGCGCUUCGGCGCCACCCGAGGAUGAGCCCGCGUCUCAUUAGCUAGUUGGUGAGGUAACGGCCCACCAAUGCGAUGAUGGGUAGGCGGCCUGAGAGGGUCGACGCCUACACUGAGACUGAGACAAGGACCAGACUCAUGCGGGAGGCAGCGAGUAAGAAUAUUCCGCAAUGGACGAAAGUAUGACGGAGCGACGCCGAGUGGAUACAGAAGGCCGAAAGGUUUGAAAAUCCUUUUGUUGGGGAAGAAUAAGGCUGGGAGGGAAUGCCGGGCUGAAGACAUGAACCGACGAAUAAGUCCCGGCUAACUACGUGCCAGCCGCCGCCGUAA